Molecule: ribosomal RNA, 2070 nt
Filed under: Guizhoumyces acicularis
Lineage: Eukaryota; Fungi; Ascomycota; Dothideomycetes; Venturiales; Sympoventuriaceae
Description: SSU rRNA
Rfam family: Eukaryotic small subunit ribosomal RNA
Source: RNAcentral
AUGUCUAGUAUAAGCAACUAUACUGUGAAACUGCGAAUGGCUCAUUAAAUCAGUUAUCGUUUAUUUGAUAGUGCCCUUACUACUUGGAUAACCGUGGUAAUUCUAGAGCUAAUACAUGCUUAAAACCUCGACUUCGGAAGAGGUGUAUUUAUUAGAUAAAAAACCAAUGCCCUUCGGGGCUCCUUGGUGAUUCAUAAUAACGCAACGAAUCGCAUGGCCUUGCGCCGGCGAUGGUUCAUUCAAAUUUCUGCCCUAUCAACUUUCGAUUGUAGUUUAGUGGACUACAAUGGUUUCAACGGGUAACGGGGAAUUAGGGUUCGACUCCGGAGAGGGAGCCUGAGAAACGGCUACCACAUCCAAGGAAGGCAGCAGGCGCGCAAAUUACCCAAUCCCGACUCGGGGAGGUAGUGACAAUAAAUACUGAUACAGGGCUCUUUUGGGUCUUGUAAUUGGAAUGAGUACAAUUUAAAUCCCUUAACGAGGAACAAUUGGAGGGCAAGUCUGGUGCCAGCAGCCGCGGUAAUUCCAGCUCCAAUAGCGUAUAUUAAAGUUGUUGCAGUUAAAAAGCUCGUAGUUGAACCUUGGGCCUGGCUGGCCGGUCCGCCUCACCGCGUGCACUGGUUCGGCCGGGCCUUUCCUUCUGUGGAUCCGCAUGCCCUUCACUGGGUGUGUUGGGGAAACAGGACUUUUACUUUGAAAAAAUUAGAGUGUUCAAAGCAGGCCUUUGCUCGAAUACAUUAGCAUGGAAUAAUAGAAUAGGACGGCCUUCCUAUUUUGUUGGUUUCUAGGAGCGCCGUAAUGAUUAAUAGGGAUAGUUGGGGGCAUCAGUAUUCAAUUGUCAGAGGUGAAAUUCUUGGAUUUAUUGAAGACUAUCUACUGCGAAAGCAUUUGCCAAAGAUGUUUUCAUUAAUCAGUGAACGAAAGUUAGGGGAUCGAAGACGAUCAGAUACCGUCGUAGUCUUAACCAUAAACUAUGCCGACUAGGGAUUCGGCGAUGUUACUAUUCUUGACUCGCUCGGCACGUUUCGAGAAAUCCAAAGUUUUUGGGUCUGGGGGGGAGUAUGGUCGCAAGGCUGAAAACCUAAAGAAAUGGACGGAAAGGGCACCACCCAGGAGUGAACCUUUGCCGUUCGCCGCAGCAACUCUGCUCCGAAAAGCAGCCCGAAAGGGUGAGGUGGUCCAGCCCGGGCACGUCCCGAAUCUAAAUGCUAGUCCGUUCGCGGGCGACACGCUCAAACUGCGGGAAAAUCCUAAAGCUCCAGACACCAAGCCGGCGGCCGAAAGGCGUCGGUGGCCAGGUUAAUAGCCUCGGGUACGGUAACAGCUCUGGAGAUGCGACAAUGGGUGAUCCGCAUCCAAGCUCCGCACGUCUGCCCGCAGACAGGAGAAGGUUCAGAGACUAGACGGGUGUGGGUCCAUCCCGGGUCUUGCAGGCCUGGGUGGGCUUAAGGUAUAGUCCGGCCACCGUCGAAAGGCGGUGGGUCUCCCUCUCGUAGGGGGCUCCAACGGGAGCCUGCGGCUUAAUUUGACUCAACACGGGGAAACUCACCAGGUCCAGAUACACGUAGGAUUGACAGAUUGAGAGCUCUUUCUUGAUUGUGUAGUUGGUGGUGCAUGGCCGUUCUUAGUUGGUGGAGUGAUUUGUCUGCUUAAUUGCGAUAACGAACGAGACCUUCAUCGUUAAAUAGCCCGGCUCGCUUUGGCGUGUCGCCGGCUUCUUAGCGAGACUUUUGGCUUAAGCCAAAGGAAGUUGGAGGCAAUAACAGGUCUGUGAUGCCCUUAGAUGUUCUGGGCUGCACGCGCGCUACACUGACAGAGCCAACGAGUUUUUUUUCCUUGGCCGGAAGGUCUGGGUAAUCUUGUUAAACUCUGUCGUGCUGGGGAUAGAGCAUUGCAAUUAUUGCUCUUCAACGAGGAAUGCCUAGUAAGCGCGUGUCAUCAGCACGCGUUGAUUACGUCCCUGCCCUUUGUACACACCGCCCGUCGCUACUACCGAUUGAAUGGCUCAGUGAGGCCUCCGGACUGGCUCAGAGAGGUUGGCAACGACCACUCAGGGCCGGAAGCUGGUCA